GCAACGCCGCGUGGAGGAUGACGGCCUUCGGGUUGUAAACUCCUGUCACCAAUGAACAAACGGCAGGUUCAUAGCCUGUCCUGAGUUAACUUGGAGAGGAAGAGGUGGCUAACUCCGUGCCAGCAGCCGCGGUAAUACGGAGACCUCGAGCGUAACUCGGAUUCACUGGGCGUAAAGAGUAUGUAGGCGGUGCGGUAUGUCCGGUGUGAAAUGCCCGGAGCUCAACUCCGGAGUUGCGCCUGAGACUACCGGACUCGAGGCCUGGAGAGGGGAGUGGAAUGCCUGGUGUAGCGGUGAAAUGCGUAGAUAUCAGGAGGAACACCGAUGGCGAAGGCAGCUCUCUGGACAGGUUCUGACGCUGAGAUACGAAAGCGUGGGUAGCGAAAGGGAUUAGAUACCCCGGUAGUCCACGCCGUAAACUUUGUACACUAGAUUUCGGAGGGCCUACCCAUUCGGAGCUCAAGCUAACGCGUUAAGUGUACCGCCUGAGGACUACGGUCGCAAGGCUGAAACUCAAAGGAAUUGACAGGGGCCCGCACCAGCGGUGGAACAUGUGGUUUAAUUCGAUGCAACGCGAAGAGCCUUACCUGGGCUUGACAUAUGUAUGAAGUAUGUAAGAAAUUAUGUAUUCUGUCUGAUUUUUCAGACAGCAUAUAUACAGGUGAUGCAUGGCUGUCGUCAGCUCGUGUCGUGAGAUGUAGGGUUAAGUCCCUUAACGAGCGCAACCCUUACUUUUAGUUGCCAUCAGGUAAAGCUGGGGACUCUAGAAGGACUGCCGAGGUUAACUCGGAGGAAGGUGGGGAUGACGUCAAGUCAGUAUGUCCCUUAUGUCCAGGGCUACACACGUGUUACAAUGGCCGGUACAGAGUGCCGCGAAUCCGCGAGGUGAAGCAAAUCACUCAAAGCCGGUCCCAGUUCGGAUUGGAGUCUGCAAUUCGACUCCAUGAAGUUGGAAUCGCUAGUAAUCGCAGAACAGCACGCUGCGGUGAAUACGUUCCCGGGCCUUGUACACACCGCCCGUCACGCCAUGGAAGUUGGGAGCACCCAAAGUUGCUG
RNAcentral lists this ribosomal RNA (1056 nucleotides) under uncultured organism. RNAcentral describes it as "bacterial SSU rRNA". It matches the Rfam family "Bacterial small subunit ribosomal RNA", at positions 391 to 1432 of the family's 1533-position model. The record is from RNAcentral.